Molecule: ribosomal RNA, 482 nt
Filed under: uncultured bacterium
Lineage: Bacteria
Description: bacterial SSU rRNA
Rfam family: Bacterial small subunit ribosomal RNA
Source: RNAcentral
AAUCAACGCUGGCGGCGUGCCUAACGCAUGCAAGUCGAACGCGAAAGGGGGCUUCGGCUCCUAAGUAGAGUGGCGUCCGGGUGAGUAACACGUAGGUAAUCUGCCUUCGGGUGGGGAAUAACCAGUCGAAAGAUUGGCUAAUACCGCAUAAUGCAGCGGCACCUAAUGGUGAUUAGUUGUUAAAGCGGGGGAUCGUAAGACCUCGCGCCUGAAGAGGAGCCUGCGGCAGAUUAGCUAGUUGGUGAGGUAAUGGCUCACCAAGGCUUCGAUCUGUAGCUGGUCUGAGAGGACGGCCAGCCACACUGGCACUGACACACGGGCCAGACUCCUACGGGAGGCAGCAGUGGGGAAUUUUGGGCAAUGGGCGAAAGCCUGACCCAGCAACGCCGCGUGAGGGAGGAAAUCCUUCGGGAUGUAAACCUCACAAGCAAGGGAAGAGAGCUCAGGGCCGAAUAAGCUUUGAGUCCGACGGUACCUUGCGU